RNAcentral lists this ribosomal RNA (433 nucleotides) under uncultured bacterium. RNAcentral describes it as "partial 16S ribosomal RNA". It matches the Rfam family "Bacterial small subunit ribosomal RNA", at positions 29 to 507 of the family's 1533-position model. The record is from RNAcentral.
AACGAACGCUGGCGGCAUGCCUAACACAUGCAAGUCGAACGAGCCCUUCGGGACUUGUGGCGCACGGGUGUGUAACGCGUGGGAACCUGCACUUAGGUUCGGAAUAACUCCCCGAAAGGGGUGAUAAUACCGGAUAAUGUCUUCGGACCAAGGAUUUAUCGCCUUUGGAUGGGCCCGCGUUGGAUUAGCUAGUUGGUAGGGUAAAAGCCUACCAAGGCGCCGAUCCAUAGCUGGUCAGAGAGGAUGAUCAGCCACACUGGGACUGAGACACGGCCCAGACUCCUACGGGAGGCAGCAGUGGGGAAUAGUGGACAAUGGGCGAAAGCCUGAUCCAGCAAUGCCGCGUGAGUGAUGAAGGCCUUAGGGUUGUAAAGCGCUUUUACCCGGGAUGAUAAUGACAGUACCGGGAGAAUAAGCUCCGGCUAACUCCGUG